UAUCGUUACUUUACUAGUUUCCUCCAGUUUAUGUUCAGCUUGACGCGGAAACAGAAUUUUCUAGACUUGAUCUUGCGAAUUUCCAAGAAAGUUCCGUGAAAGUCCUAAACGGUCUUUGAUGGCGUCUUAUAUAAAUUAAUAAUGCCCCUUCCUGCCUUCCUUCUAUCAUAAGGCACCCUUCCCUCGCUUCCAAAUCUUCGACCUACCAUUUCUCACCAAAAAAAAACAUCUGGACCAAUCAAAACGUUCCGUUUCCCGCUCGCGAUCUCUCGCCGACAAGUGGGCCCGAACGCCCGGGGCCCAGGCGCAGCCAGACAAAACUCAGCAACGCAACCACCUCGCCGAAUAAUUUCGCCGCGUCGUGUUCCUCGCUUCCGCCACCGCGCCGGCGUGCCGUCUCCCGUUGGUCUCCAGCCGCCGAUUCGCGGGCACGGACGAGUUGGUGGUUAAAGCUAAACAUAACAGAUAUCUGACAAAACACAAAUUCGACGCCCAUGUUUGCAAGCAGUAUGGACAUUAUUGAUGUAAGUUCAGAUAGUGAAGACAUUAUUGACCUGUGCUCAGAUAGUGAAGACAACAUUGAUUUGCAUUCAGACAGAGAAGAUGAUCUUGGUUGUGAGGAUCCCGAUAAUAGUUUUCACCAGCUUCGUGUUUCUCCCAUCACAACAUCUGACCAGAAUAGCGUACAACCACCAAUAAGCUUGGAAGACUAUGAUUGGUUAAGUUGUAUUCAGGCUUCAUCCUCCCAUAGGCCUGCUGAGAACAGGUCAACCACUGAAAUGAGCAAGGUUCCUUUUGCUCCGGUGAACCAUGGUUCUUUUAUGGGGAUGCCACAUGAUUCUGCACAUGCUAUUCCUAUUGGCCAGUGGAUUGAUAAUGUGGGGACACUGCAUGUAAGUGACGAUAACAAGAAGACUCUUCCAUUGUCACUAACAAAUGGUACUGCUGCAAAAUCUGAACAUUUCUAUGCUUCAAAUGAUGCGCAUCAGUUUCCACAAUCUUUCACUCAGGGAAGCUCUAGAAUUUUCAGUGAAAAUAGGAUUCUGCAUCAAUCAAUUGAGCCCAAUCAUUCAAGUUUAGGUGACAACAGGAUCAAGGAAGAGCUCACUGUGAAGUCUAAUGGUUUUCAAAGAUGUCUUGCCAAUGGAAAUGGGAUGUCUUCAUCUACAAUGCCAACAGAUGAUGUCUAUGUAUAUGGAGGUCCACGUUCACAUAGGAUUUUCCCUCCGCCGAUGCCAUCCAUGGCUUCUGUUAAUGAUGCUGAAGUUGCUAAUGACGUUGAAAAAAGGCUUUUUGGUUUUAAUGAGAAAGUUGUAUAUGAAGAAGCCCUGCAGCAUAUCAGUCAGGAAAAAAAGGAAGAAGAUCUGCCUGAAGGUGUUAUGUCAGUAUCACUCCUUAAGCAUCAGAAAAUAGCAUUAGCUUGGAUGAUUUCCAAGGAGAAUAGUUCGCAUUGUCCAGGUGGAAUUUUGGCAGAUGAUCAGGGUCUUGGGAAGACAAUAUCAACGAUUGCACUUAUACAGAAGGAGAGGGUUCAGCAGUCUAGGUUCAUGGCUGAUUUUUACCGUACGAAAUCUGUACUAAGCGUUGAUGACGAUGAUGACGUAGUGGUUGUCAUGGACAAGAAAGAACUGAAGGACGAACCCCAGAAUAAGCUAGAUAAUUCUACACCAUUGCAUGUUGCCACCGGUCUUAAGUCCUGUGCUAGUCGGUCAAGGGCUGCUGCGGAUAGUAUAGUCGAGACCAUUGAAGUUGAACCCAAGAAGAAGACCAGAGUGAGAUCCACUGCAUCAACCUUGAAGUCCAAUACUAGAGCAGCUGCAGGAACAUUGGUGGUGUGCCCCGCUAGUGUUCUUAAGCAGUGGGCUAAUGAGUUGUCUGUGAAGGUUAUGGAAAGUGCUAAAUUGUCUGUUUUGGUUUAUCAUGGAGGUUCAAGGACUAGAGAUCCAACUGAGUUGGCAACAUAUGAUGUUGUUGUCACCACAUACACAACUGUGGCCCAUGAAGUGCCUAAAGAAAACUCUGAUGAUGAGCAAAAGAACAAUGAAAUGUAUGGAAUAUGUCCGGAAUUUUGCGUCGGCAGCAAAAGAAAACAACCCCCACUAGAGCAGAGCAAGGCAAAGGAAAAUAAACCAAAUGGAGGGCCACUUGCCAGGGUACGAUGGUUCAGAGUUGUACUAGAUGAAGCUCAGACAAUAAAAAAUUACCGGACUCAAGUGGCUAGAGCUUGUUGUGGACUGAGCGCGGAAAGGAGAUGGUGCUUAUCAGGAACACCCAUACAAAAUAAAAUUGAUGAUCUAUACAGCUAUUUCUGUUUCUUGAAAUACGAACCAUAUUCUGAAUUUAGUUCGUUUUCCGAUAUGAUAAAGAACCCAAUUUCUAAAGAUCCAGUUCGAGGCUAUAAGAAGCUUCAAGCUAUCUUGAGGAUAGUUCUACUGCGGCGCACAAAAGAAACACUUAUUGAUGGAGAACCAAUCAUUAAACUACCACCAAAGACAAUUCAGCUGAGUAAAAUAGAUUUCACCCAAGAUGAGCGAGCUUUCUACUUGACACUUGAAGAAGGCUCUCGGCAAAAGUUCAAGGCAUAUGAUGCUGCUGGGACGAUAAAGGAAAAUUAUGCAAACAUCCUUGUGUUGCUGUUGCGGCUUCGGCAGGCUUGUGACCAUCCUCUUCUUUUGAAGGGGCAAAAAUCAGAUUUGAUUGACAAUGGCUCUGUAGAAAGGGCAAAGCAACUUCCUAAGGAAACAGUGACAAAUUUGCUUGAAAAGCUGGAAAGAGAUUCUGCAAUUUGUUCCAUAUGCAGUGUAAGCAAUCAGGACCCACCUGAGGAUGCUGUUGUAGCAACAUGUGGUCAUGUUUUUUGCUAUCAGUGUGUAUAUGGAAGCUUAAUAAGCGAUGAGAAUGUCUGCCCCUCUCCACUUUGCAGAAAGGAAAUAAGUGCUCAAUCUGUUUUUUCACCUGCAGCAUUAAACCUUUGUAUCUUGUCUAAAUUGGAGUCUGAUGCAACAACUAGUUGUUCUACAGCUGCGGACAAACUGUCCUCAAUCUGUGAAAGUAGUUACAUCUCCUCAAAGAUCCGGGCAGCCGUGGACAUACUUAACUCAAUCAUCAACACGUGCACCCUUACAGGGGGUGACACUACAGAAUCAGUGCCAGGCGAGACAGCUCCUGUUAAAGCAAUAGUCUUCACCCAGUGGACUGGCAUGUUGGAUUUGCUGGAGCUUUCACUGAAAAGCAAUCAUAUUGAAUUCAGGAGACUAGAUGGGUCGAUGUCUCUGAACAUAAGAGAAAGCGCAGUGACAGAGUUCAAGACUGACCCAGAGGUGAGAGUAAUGAUUAUGUCACUGAAGGCUGGCAAUCUUGGUCUAAACAUGAUAGCUGCUUGCCAUGUGAUUAUGCUUGAUCCUUGGUGGAAUCCUUAUGCAGAGGACCAAGCAGUUGAUAGAGCACAUAGAAUUGGUCAGACCCGCCCUGUUAAUGUUUCCCGUUUAACAAUUAAAGACACGGUGGAAGAUCGAAUUUUAGCUCUGCAGGAGAAUAAGAGAAAGAUGGUCCAAUCUGUGUUCGGCGAGGACAAGUCCAGCGGCAAUGCUACUCGGCUCACCGUAGAAGACCUCAGAUAUCUCUUCAUGGUGUGAUGGCACCUUGUAAUUCUUUGUAGGCCAUCUAAGGUGCUAUGAUGGACUAGUUUCAGCCUGCCUUUCUUUGUUGCUUUUCCAGUUUUGUUUGUCCGAACAAGAGAAGGAUGAUGAAAGGAAAGUGAAAAUUCCACUAGUACUCUCCGACAUAUAGGUUACCAGGAUUAUUUAUUUGUGUUGAUAUUCGUGUUAUAUGGUAUGUGAAAAAAAUUAUGAGAUAAGUAAAAGAAUUAAUGAGUGUAUGAAUAUCAGAUGAAAUGAAUGGAUAAGAUAACCCGUGUAUCCACACCUAUAACAGAUGGAUCGGCAGGGACAUAUUCCGUGACCACGCAACUGACAAGCUCAGCAAAGAACUCAGAUAUCUCUUUGAUGUGUGAUUACAGCUUCGUACAGGCCUUCAUACCGCUGGUGCCUUUUGAAUUAAUAAUACACUUUCCCAUGUUUGACAUCAUUUAUGUAACGAUUUAUUUUCCCCUCUGAACUCAACUGGAUGCUAAAAAUUGUAAUAAGGACUAGGCUACGUGCAUUGAACCAUGCAGAGGCCGGAACAUUAUUUCCAUUAUGUAAAAAAGAAGUUGUAGAAUGCUACAGGGUAUAUGACGUUGUUUUGUGGUUUUGGACUUAUGAAAGCAUGGUAUAUUUACCGAGCCCUGUUCUGAAAGCAUGGAUUUUGCAAGAAUUCUACAUUCAGUUGGAGUGGAUGUUUCCUUCCCGAUGAGGUUUCGAAUUCAAGAAUUGCGACACAACGACGA
This is an RNA transcript of Phragmites australis (common reed), 4387 nucleotides long. It is a transcript of the gene named helicase-like transcription factor CHR28, with no coding region annotated. The record is from RefSeq and is a predicted model, not a curated record. NCBI's taxonomy places the organism in Eukaryota, Viridiplantae, Streptophyta, Magnoliopsida, Poales, Poaceae. The transcript is spliced from 13 exons.